RNAcentral lists this long non-coding RNA (1287 nucleotides) under Numida meleagris (helmeted guineafowl). Its description in RNAcentral is "lncRNA (ENSNMEG00000003974.1)". Lineage: Eukaryota; Metazoa; Chordata; Aves; Galliformes; Numididae. The record is from RNAcentral.
AUGAAAGCCCGCCGGAGCGCUGCUCCUCGAUGCGCUCUCCCCGAUUCUUUGCGCUGCUCUCCGCGGCCCUCAGCCGCUUGCCCGACCCCGAACAGCCCCGGGAGGCGGCAGCCGGCGGGCAGAGACGGCCCCCUCUGCGCCCUGAGCACGCUCCCCAGAGCGGAGCUGCCCACAGCCCCCGGGCGCUGCCCACCCCGCAGUACGGAGGAGCGGGGGCGGCCGCGCCGUCGGGGAGAGGCAGCUGCGCGGCAGCCCCACGGCCGUCCGCGGGCCCGAGCCGGAGGCGUUGUCCCGUCAGGGGCGUGGGCGUGCGGGCCCACGGCCGUUAGCACCGGCGGGGCUAUUUCAAAGCCUUUAUGGAACGCUCCAGGCCGAUUCCCCCCUCUUCGGAGGGCCGGGGCAGCCCGGGGGAGCCGACACUCGGGAAAGGAACGCGGUGUCCGGCCGGAGCCGGCGGGGAGAGCGGGCAGGGAGCGCUCGGGGAGAUCGGCGUCGACGGCGGCCCCCUCUGGGAGCGGGGAAACACACGGGGCCGGGCGGCGCGGGCACAGGUGUGGAGCGGCCCCAGGUGCGGGGCCGGGUGGGCCGCGGAUACGGGCGGGGCAGGGCCCGAUCGGGCUUAGAGGGGUUCGCGCGGCGGCGGCUCCUCUGGCAGAGCGGAGCUUCGUGCUUCCCUGGGUCUGCUCCGCCCGCAGCCGGGCCCCCGUGCGUUCCCGGGGGCUGCCCUGCUCGCUCCCCCCCCAUCCCGUGCCGCUCCGGGGCCGCCCCCGCUGCUCAGCGCCGAUACAGCGGCUGGAACGGAGCCGUCGGGUGUGGAGGUUUUAUGGCUCGGAUGGACGAGGAGGAGUGGAUUCCCGGAAGAAAUGCUUGAAAAAACUUGCAAGCGAGACGUCCUUCUGCAUGGCAUGGAAAGGGUUUUCUGCACUGUGAGCACAUUCCCCCUGUAGCAGGUACGGUUGUGGCACAGACCAGAGCCCUGCAUGGCGUUUGUCUUAGGACGAUUGAAGCAAUGAGACGAAGUACUCUGGCAAAUCCAAGGCCUGCCCACCUCCUUCAUCUCGCAGAAAAACACAGGUAACAAAAUGAGUCUCUCGGUUAUUUUCAUGUUCUUUAAUUUCAAGUCCAUGCCUGAUUUAAAGAAGGGCAGCUACAGGGAAGGUGCGGAAAGCAGGUGCUGGCUGCGGCGUUUCUCAGUGCAUGGAGUCUGACCUCGUGCUGUUAGACCCGACUGGCCAGCAGCGGUUGCCUUGCAAUAAAAAGCAGUUGAGGUGUUGUGGGAAUGAAGCC